This is a long non-coding RNA of Conger conger (European conger), 472 nucleotides long. RefSeq lists it as uncharacterized. The record is from RefSeq and is a predicted model, not a curated record. NCBI's taxonomy places the organism in Eukaryota, Metazoa, Chordata, Actinopteri, Anguilliformes, Congridae. The transcript has 3 exons.
UAGUGCUGUACAUCGCCUCUUCCUGUUCCUUGGGGAGUGGCGGCUACUGUAGUGGCUACUGGCAGGAGAAGCAGGAAACUAUGAAGUCGACCGUAGAUAUUUAAUGAAGUUUAUACAUGCGCUCAGGAAUAGAGGAUCUUUCCACUUCUCUUAAGCCUUGCCAGAGAAGAAAGAGACGUCAGAGGAAUCCAAGGAGAAGGAGGAGAAAAAGAAGACUGAGGGGAAAAAGUGUGAAAAAAAGAGGGGGAAGAAGAUGAGAGAGAGAGAGGAGGAAGAGGACGAAGAGCCGGGUCCCUCUACCCAGUCCACGCCAAGCAAGAAGAAACCAGAAAAACCAUGUUAUGGUUCUCCCAUCAGAAAGGGGGAGAAGAAGCCCAUCUGGAAAUGGCUGAACUUCAGGAAACGGCUACCUGUCACCUGCGGCGAUAAGAAGGGCAUCCUUUACAGAGACAAGCUGCCCAAGGGUGAGCUG